This 253-nucleotide ribosomal RNA is filed under the name uncultured bacterium. RNAcentral describes it as "partial 16S ribosomal RNA". It matches the Rfam family "Bacterial small subunit ribosomal RNA", at positions 524 to 776 of the family's 1533-position model. The record is from RNAcentral.
UACGGAGGGAGCUAGCGUUGUUCGGAAUUACUGGGCGUAAAGCGCACGUAGGCGGCUUUGUAAGUUAGAGGUGAAAGCCCGGGGCUCAACCCCGGAACUGCCUUUAAGACUGCAUCGCUUGAAUCCAGGAGAGGUGAGUGGAAUUCCGAGUGUAGAGGUGAAAUUCGUAGAUAUUCGGAAGAACACCAGUGGCGAAGGCGGCUCACUGGACCUGUACUGACGCUCAUGCACGAAAGCGUGGGGAGCAAACAGG